This 529-nucleotide ribosomal RNA is filed under the name Nocardia nova. RNAcentral describes it as "bacterial SSU rRNA". It matches the Rfam family "Bacterial small subunit ribosomal RNA", at positions 111 to 654 of the family's 1533-position model. Lineage: Bacteria; Bacillati; Actinomycetota; Actinomycetes; Mycobacteriales; Nocardiaceae. The record is from RNAcentral.
UAACACGUGGGUGAUCUGCCUCGCACUCUGGGAUAAGCCUGGGAAACUGGGUCUAAUACCGGAUAUGACCAUUGAUCGCAUGGUUGGUGGUGGAAAGAUUUAUCGGUGCGAGAUGGGCCCGCGGCCUAUCAGCUUGUUGGUGGGGUAAUGGCCUACCAAGGCGACGACGGGUAGCCGACCUGAGAGGGUGACCGGCCACACUGGGACUGAGACACGGCCCAGACUCCUACGGGAGGCAGCAGUGGGGAAUAUUGCACAAUGGGCGAAAGCCUGAUGCAGCGACGCCGCGUGAGGGAUGACGGCCUUCGGGUUGUAAACCUCUUUCGACAGGGACGAAGCGCGAGUGACGGUACCUGUAGAAGAAGCACCGGCCAACUACGUGCCAGCAGCCGCGGUAAUACGUAGGGUGCGAGCGUUGUCCGGAAUUACUGGGCGUAAAGAGCUUGUAGGCGGUUCGUCGCGUCGAUUGUGAAAACUUGCAGCUCAACUGCAAGCUUGCAGUCGAUACGGGCGGACUAGAGUACUUCAG